This 429-nucleotide ribosomal RNA is filed under the name bacterium. Its description in RNAcentral is "partial 16S ribosomal RNA". It matches the Rfam family "Bacterial small subunit ribosomal RNA", at positions 355 to 776 of the family's 1533-position model. The record is from RNAcentral.
UGGGGAAUUUUGGACAAUGGGCGAAAGCCUGAUCCAGCAAUGCCGCGUGUGUGAAGAAGGCCUUCGGGUUGUAAAGCACUUUUGUCCGGAAAGAAAUGGCUCUGGUUAAUACCUGGGGUCGAUGACGGUACCGGAAGAAUAAGGACCGGCUAACUACGUGCCAGCAGCCGCGGUAAUACGUAGGGUCCAAGCGUUAAUCGGAAUUACUGGGCGUAAAGCGUGCGCAGGCGGUUGUGCAAGACCGAUGUGAAAUCCCCGAGCUUAACUUGGGUAUUGCAUUGGUGACUGCACGGCUAGAGUGUGUCAGAGGGGGGUAGAAUUCCACGUGUAGCAGUGAAAUGCGUAGAGAUGUGGAGGAAUACCGAUGGCGAAGGCAGCCCCCUGGGAUAACACUGACGCUCAUGCACGAAAGCGUGGGGAGCAAACAGG